This 312-nucleotide unclassified non-coding RNA is filed under the name Melitaea cinxia (Glanville fritillary). RNAcentral's name for it is "misc RNA ENSMCXG00005012227.1". Lineage: Eukaryota; Metazoa; Arthropoda; Insecta; Lepidoptera; Nymphalidae. The record is from RNAcentral.
UCCUUGUCGACUCUAUAUAAGCGAGAGUAGCUUGAAAACUUUAACUGCGUGAUGUAGGAUCACGAUUUUUUUCCAUUAAUCCCUAGCUUCAUGUUUAUACUUAUAUGGAUACUUAUUUUCAUAUUUAACGUUACUUUAAGUCGCUAGUUAAUUACGGUAAUAGAUCUUAGGUAAAAUUUGACUAAAAAAUAAAAAAGCUUUAUCGUCUAAAUUCUGAACAACGUUCAACAAAAAGACAUGUCAAGACAUUACGUUUGACUAGCAAGAUAAGAGACAAUACACAAUAUAUUUUGUAAAGUAUCAAAGAUAAAA